UGCCUUGUCUUCUCUCUCUAGAUUUUGGACAGCAAACCGCCGCGCGUGUGUGCGUGUGACGAAAAAUGAUGGAUGAAAAACGCGAGGAGCGGGGUCUGAAGUCUUUCGUUGGUCACACACACAUGCAUCUACCAGCGGAUUGCGCUACACCAAGUCUACCCAUCUUUCUCGAUCUACCAUGAUUUUUUCUGCUAUCGCGCUCAUCCGGGUGUUAGGCAUCCUCAGUCUGUCCAGAACUUUCGUUGUGGAAGGAUGUGCGGGAGUGAUGUGCGAUUUCUUGUGUCCCCUACUUUCCUUGUUUACGUUUUGCGCAGUGUUGCUUCUUAUUCCAUUGUGGAAUGAUUUAUCCUAGCUAACUUGUUGAGGCAAGUUUCUUGAUCUCAUUGUGCUUCAAUGUACCAAUUCAACUAAUGCUUAUCGUUUUCAAAGUUACAGGUGCAUGCGCCAUUCAUCAACGCCUACGUGUUGGCAUCAUCAACAAUCUUCAAAAUGGGUGACGGAAGGAAAUUGUUUUCCAGUUUUAAAAUAUUAAGCGUUCAGCACAACUCAGCCACAAAACAACGCACUGGAUUGCGCUAAGAACCUGUCGAAACGCGCGCAGCCCCCGGGAGCGGUAGGAGAAAGGAAGAAUGAGAGGAGGAAAAACUAAAACCAGCGCGCAGCUCUGAUGGUACUCUGGACGCGGUAAGAAGAAACAAGAUCGAGAGGAGGAAGAACGGUAAAUUUGGAAGGGGGAGACCGUUCUGCCGUCUACAUAGUGUGAGUAUGCCAAAGCACGUGUUGGAAGGGAGAGAAAAAGUUGGAAUAAACCUCAUGCGAAUGUGUGCAUACAGCAAAUGUAAAGAUGUGUGCCUCAUCAUUUCUAUAAGCAAUCCGAAAAGGGGGUGGAGCAAACACAUUUGUAUGCGUGAGGUACAGAAGAAAUCAGAUCAUGAUAGUAUGUGUGAACGCGAUCGUUCGGGUGGAAGGUGUCUAUGUGUGCGUGAAACCACAUUUCCACUUCUACUGCAAGUGGGUACGUAAGUGGGGCCAUAUGUGUACGACACGAUCCCAUACAAAACUUCGGCUUUUGCGGACUGGGCAGCUUCAAUCUCAGCGGAUCUCUGAGUGCUGGUGACCGGUGGGGAAGGUUCGUGCCGAACCCCGUUCGGGUUUUGCUUCGGCUUCGGGUUUACUUCGGCUUCGGGACCCGACGGAUCGGUUGAAUAAUUUCGCCAACUCAGCUUCAAAGCCACCCAAGUAGCAGAGCCGAAGUUGUUGAGAGGUUUUUCUGUGUGCCAAAGCGAGAGGCCCUGUCUUCUCUCUCUAGAUUUUGGACGGCAAACCGCCGCCCGUGUAGAGGUGUGUGCGUGUGACGAAAAAUUAUGGAUGAAAUACGGGGCAAGCGGGGUUUGAAGUCUUUCGUUGGUCACACACACAUGCAUUUACCAGCGGAUAACGCUGGACCGAGUCUACCCAUCUCUCUCGAUCCAACAUGAUUUUUCUGCUAUCGCGCUCAUCCGGGUGUUAGGCAUCCUCAGUCUGUCCAGAACUUUCCCUAUGGAAGGAUGUACUGAAGUUAGGUGCGAUUUAUUGUGCGACGUACUUUGUUCAUUUACGUUUUGUGCCGUGUUCCUUCUUCCUUUGUUAUGGAAUGAUUUAUCCUAGCAAAUUGUUGAGGUAAGUUUCUUGCUGUGCACUUGUGCAGGUACAUUCAACUAACCCUUGGCGUCUAAAAAGUUACAGGUGUGUGCGCUAUUUAUCAACUACUACCUGCUGGCGUCGUCAACAAUCUUCAAAGGAGCGACGGAAAGAAAACAUUUUCCAGUUUUAAAAUAUUAAAGAAAGUUUUGAUCUAAUCCCAAGCGCUAAACUCUCCAUAAUAAUGCAUACUACAUACAUUCAUUAUUGCUUCAUUCAGCCCCCGGUGAGGACGUCAUUACUUAACAGAAGCCGGUUCAACACGCGCAGCUCCUGUUCAUGACGUCAUCACUAAACUCAAGCCAGCUGAACACGCGCAGCACGGAUGGUACCCCGAGCGCAGUAGGAGGAAGGAAGAACGAGAGGAGGAAGAACGGUAAAUUUGGAAGGGGGAAAGCGUUCUGCCGUCUACACAGCGGGAGUAUGCCAAAACACAUGUGGGAAGGGAGAGGGAUAUUAUUCAAUAAACAGCAUGCGAAUGUGUGCAUAAAGCAAA
Long non-coding RNA from Anopheles coluzzii, 2176 nucleotides. RefSeq lists it as uncharacterized. NCBI's taxonomy places the organism in Eukaryota, Metazoa, Arthropoda, Insecta, Diptera, Culicidae. The transcript is spliced from 2 exons. The record is from RefSeq and is a predicted model, not a curated record.